Molecule: unclassified non-coding RNA, 1035 nt
Filed under: Hevea brasiliensis (rubber tree)
Lineage: Eukaryota; Viridiplantae; Streptophyta; Magnoliopsida; Malpighiales; Euphorbiaceae
Source: RNAcentral
GGCAGACCAGGCAUAUUGGUUCUUCCUCAAGCCUUUCUGUUUUGCAUUUGAAUUGAAAUUAUAACUUAGCAAAUGCUAGGAUUUUGGAUUAUCUGCUUGCUGGUAUCAUCAUUUCAUACUGUUUGUCAUCUAUGUAUUACCAUAGCCUAUUAGAUGAGUCGAAGCUAGUGUUGAGUUCAGAAGUGACACACAACAGUAACACCACAUAGAUGGUGUACUAUGACAAUUUUUCAGUUAAAACAUUAGAAAGGCUGUUGAAUGACCAAUAAACUUAGCUCAGUGGUAUUGGAGUCAUCUCCAGGAUUGUAAGGUCUUGAGUUCAAAUUCUAAUUGGAGCCAAAUAAACCAAAAAGAAAAGUCCUUUGAAUGAUUUAGGAAAGGUUACAUUUUUAUGGUGAGCAGAUCUCUAGCAAUUAUGGAUUUAGGAUUUUGAAUGAAGGAAGAACGGGAGAGUUUGAGCUAAGGAAAUUGAUUCAGAGCUUGUUAGAGUGAGAAAAAAGACAAAAAGAAAUUGGAGAUUGUUGAGGCUGUGAACAUUAUCCAAGGUAGUGUAGCAGUCGAGGGGAAGGAGGAGAGGAAGAGAGAAGAGGGAAGAGAAAACUGGCACCAGGCCUUUCAAAACAAGUCCUCAAUAUCAUUAUGAAAACCUAAGAAAUUACGUAUGUGUUUCUAGAGCUAACACAACGCCUACUAGGAUUAGGAAUUCCCAAACUUGGAAUAUUCUAAACAAGUACUGGAUAGUAUGAGCAAACAACCUUUUAAAAAUUCUUAAUGACUAUAAAUAUUCCUAAGUAGUACUAAACCCUAAGCUUCAUAUAUAGCAAUUUGCAAGAAAAAUCCGAAUUUUACAACUAAAAAUUAAAUAGAAAUAAUCCUUAAAUCUUGUUUUCCAUGAAUUGAUCAUUGUGGCAAGCCAUUUUUUACUCAUCCUCCAAAAUUGUGGUCUUCGGGGAACAACAGAGCAUGUAAAUAGUUAUGCAAUUUUGUAGAUGCUUAGUUUUUUUUAUUAGUACUGAUUAUUGGCUCACUUCUACU